GGAGGGUUCGCCUAAUGGUAUGGCACCGCACUUGAAAUGCGGCGUCCGCAAGGACUUAGAGGUUCGACUCCUCUACCCUCCG
This 82-nucleotide transfer RNA is filed under the name Candidatus Yanofskybacteria bacterium RIFCSPHIGHO2_02_FULL_43_22. RNAcentral describes it as "tRNA-Ser". It matches the Rfam family "tRNA". Rfam says of the family: Transfer RNA (tRNA) molecules are approximately 80 nucleotides in length. Their secondary structure includes four short double-helical elements and three loops (D, anti-codon, and T loops). Lineage: Bacteria; Candidatus Yanofskyibacteriota. The record is from RNAcentral.